RNAcentral lists this ribosomal RNA (437 nucleotides) under uncultured bacterium. RNAcentral's name for it is "partial 16S ribosomal RNA". It matches the Rfam family "Bacterial small subunit ribosomal RNA", at positions 29 to 507 of the family's 1533-position model. The record is from RNAcentral.
AGCGAACGCUGGCGGCAGGCUUAACACAUGCAAGUCGAGCGGGCAUCCUUGUGGUGUCAGCGGCAGACGGGCGAGUAACGCGUGGGAACGUGCCCUUCGGUUCGGAAUAACUCAGGGAAACUUGAGCUAAUACCGGAUACGUGCGAGAGCAGAAAGGUUUAUCUGCCGAAGGAUCGGCCCGCGUCUGAUUAGCUAGUUGGUGAGGUUACGGCUCACCAAGGCGACGAUCAGUAGCUGGUCUGAGAGGAUGAUCAGCCACACUGGGACUGAGACACGGCCCAGACUCCUACGGGAGGCAGCAGUGGGGAAUAUUGGACAAUGGGGGCAACCCUGAUCCAGCCAUGCCGCGUGAGUGAUGACGGCCCUAGGGUUGUAAAGCUCUUUUCUCCGGGACGAUAAUGACGGUACCGGAGGAAUAAGCCCCGGCUAACUUCGUG